CGGGGUGUAGCGCAGUCUGGUAGCGCGCCUGCUUUGGAGAGCAGGAUUGUCGGGGGUUCAAAUCCCUCCUCCCCGACCA
RNAcentral lists this transfer RNA (79 nucleotides) under Legionella pneumophila str. 121004. Its description in RNAcentral is "tRNA-Pro". It matches the Rfam family "tRNA". Rfam says of the family: Transfer RNA (tRNA) molecules are approximately 80 nucleotides in length. Their secondary structure includes four short double-helical elements and three loops (D, anti-codon, and T loops). Further hydrogen bonds mediate the characteristic L-shaped molecular structure. tRNAs have two regions of fundamental functional importance: the anti-codon, which is responsible for specific mRNA codon recognition, and the 3' end, to which the tRNAs corresponding amino acid is attached (by aminoacyl-tRNA synthetases). tRNAs cope with the degeneracy of the genetic code in two manners: having more than one tRNA (with a specific anti-codon) for a particular amino acid; and 'wobble' base-pairing, i.e. permitting non-standard base-pairing at the 3rd anti-codon position. The record is from RNAcentral. Lineage: Bacteria; Pseudomonadati; Pseudomonadota; Gammaproteobacteria; Legionellales; Legionellaceae.